UCCGGGAUAGCUCAGCGGUAGAGCGAUCGGCUGUUAACCGAUUGGUCGUAGGUUCGAGUCCUACUCCCGGAGCCA
Molecule: transfer RNA, 75 nt
Filed under: Myxococcales bacterium
Lineage: Bacteria; Pseudomonadati; Myxococcota; Myxococcia; Myxococcales
Description: tRNA-Asn
Rfam family: tRNA
About the family: Transfer RNA (tRNA) molecules are approximately 80 nucleotides in length. Their secondary structure includes four short double-helical elements and three loops (D, anti-codon, and T loops). Further hydrogen bonds mediate the characteristic L-shaped molecular structure. tRNAs have two regions of fundamental functional importance: the anti-codon, which is responsible for specific mRNA codon recognition, and the 3' end, to which the tRNAs corresponding amino acid is attached (by aminoacyl-tRNA synthetases). tRNAs cope with the degeneracy of the genetic code in two manners: having more than one tRNA (with a specific anti-codon) for a particular amino acid; and 'wobble' base-pairing, i.e. permitting non-standard base-pairing at the 3rd anti-codon position.
Source: RNAcentral